CCUCCAUGGCCAAGAAUUGCUCAAGCUUUCUUUCUUCCAUAACUUGGUCAAAUCUCCACCGAAUCCAACGAUUUUUGUCUUGAAACUUGUUGGAAAACACCUCCUAAACACAUUGGUACCACUCUUGAGCCUUGAAAUCGCGUGUGUGAGGAGAUCUUGGCCAUUUACAGCUGCGGUUUUGGUGAGGAAUUUUGUGUUCUUGGAGCUUCUAAGUGCUCCAAUGGUGGAGUAUAGUUAGGAGGAGCCUUGUACCUUCCAUUUGGGUUGCCGUACAUCGACCUGAAUCCCGAAUCUUGAAUCAGUGAAUUGCCCUUGGUCCGGGACCAAGUGGAUUGAGGCAUUCCGCUGUGUACCGAGUUGAGGGAUAAGCUGCUACGGAGCUUGUGGAAACACGAAUUAAGGUAACC
Gastrolobium bilobum is the source of this 407-nucleotide long non-coding RNA. RefSeq lists it as uncharacterized. The transcript has 3 exons. The record is from RefSeq and is a predicted model, not a curated record. Lineage: Eukaryota; Viridiplantae; Streptophyta; Magnoliopsida; Fabales; Fabaceae.